RNAcentral lists this transfer RNA (61 nucleotides) under Andrena tsukubana. RNAcentral describes it as "tRNA-Leu". Lineage: Eukaryota; Metazoa; Arthropoda; Insecta; Hymenoptera; Andrenidae. The record is from RNAcentral.
UAUGGCAGAAUAGUGCAAUGGAUUUAAGCCCCAUUUAUAAAAUUUAAAAUUUUUAUUAAAA